RNAcentral lists this ribosomal RNA (240 nucleotides) under uncultured bacterium. RNAcentral's name for it is "partial 16S ribosomal RNA". It matches the Rfam family "Bacterial small subunit ribosomal RNA", at positions 29 to 259 of the family's 1533-position model. The record is from RNAcentral.
AAUGAACGCUGGCGGCGCGCCUAAUACAUGCAAGUCGAGCGAGAAGACGUAGCAAUACGUUUGUAAAGCGGCGAACGGGUGAGGAAUACAUGGGUAACCUACCCUAGAGUGGGGAAUAACUAGCCGAAAGGUUAGCUAAUACCGCGUACGCUCCUUGGACUUCGGUUCAGGGAGGAAAGCGAUACCGAGGGUAUCGCGCUCUUGGAUGGGCUCAUGUCCUAUCAGCUUGUUGGUGGGGGA